UACGUAGGGAGCAAGCGUUGUCCGGAAUCAUUGGGCGUAAAGCGCGCGUAGGUGGCCCCAUAAGUCCGCUGUGAAAGUCAAAGGCUCAACCUUUGAAAGCCGGUGGAUACUGUGGGACUAGAGUACGGAAGAGGCGAGUGGAAUUCCUGGUGUAGCGGUGGAAUGCGCAGAUAUCGGGAGGAACACCGGUGGCGAAGGCGGCUCUCUGGGCCUGUCCUGACGCUCAUGCGCGAAAGCUAGGGGAGCAAACAGG
RNAcentral lists this ribosomal RNA (253 nucleotides) under uncultured bacterium. RNAcentral's name for it is "partial 16S ribosomal RNA". It matches the Rfam family "Bacterial small subunit ribosomal RNA", at positions 524 to 776 of the family's 1533-position model. The record is from RNAcentral.